CGGCGUGCUUAACACAUGCAAGUCGAACGGGAUCCAUCAAGCUUGCUUGGUGGUGAGAGUGGCGAACGGGUGAGUAAUGCGUGACCAACCUGCCCUGUACUCUGGAAUAGCUCCUGGAAACGGGUGGUAAUGCCGGAUGCUCCACAUGGGUGCAUGCCUGUGUGGGAAAGGGUUUACCGGUAUGGGAUGGGGUCGCGUCCUAUCAGCUUGACGGCGGGGUAAUGGCCCACCGUGGCUUUGACGGGUAGCCGGCCUGAGAGGGCGACCGGCCACAUUGGGACUGAGAUACGGCCCAGACUCCUACGGGAGGCAGCAGUGGGGAAUAUUGCACAAUGGGGGGAACCCUGAUGCAGCGACGCCGCGUGCGGGAUGACGGCCUUCGGGUUGUAAACCGCUUUUGAUUGGGAGCAAGCGUUAAGUGAGUGUACCUUUCGAAUAAGCGCCGGCUAACUACGUGCCAGCAGCCGCGGUAAUACGUAGGGCGCAAGCGUUGUCCGGAAUUAUUGGGCGUAAAGGGCUCGUAGGCGGCUCGUCGCGUCUGGUGUGAAAGUCCAUCGCUUAACGGUGGAUCUGCGCCGGGUACGGGCGGGCUGGAGUGCGGUAGGGGAGACUGGAAUUCCCGGUGUAACGGUGGAAUGUGUAGAUAUCGGGAGGAACACCAAUGGCGAAGGCAGGUCUCUGGGCCGUUACUGACGCUGAGGAGCGAAAGCGUGGGGAGCGAACAGGAUUAGAUACCCUGGUAGUCCACGCCGUAAACGGUGGACGCUGGAUGUGGGGCCCAUUCCACGGGUUCCGUGUCGGAGCUAACGCGUUAAGCGUCCCGCCUGGGGAGUACGGCCGCAAGGCUAAAACUCAAAGAAAUUGACGGGGGCCCGCACAAGCGGCGGAGCAUGCGGAUUAAUUCGAUGCAACGCGAAGAACCUUACCUGGGCUUGACAUGUUCCCGGCGACAUCAGAGAUGGUGUUUCCCUUCGGGGCGGGUUCACAGGUGGUGCAUGGUCGUCGUCAGCUCGUGUCGUGAGAUGUUGGGUUAAGUCCCGCUACGAGCGCAACCCUCGCCCCGUGUUGCCAGCACGUCAUGGUGGGAACUCACGGGGGACCGCCGGGGUUAACUCGGAGGAAGGUGGGGAUGAC
This 1134-nucleotide ribosomal RNA is filed under the name uncultured bacterium. Its description in RNAcentral is "bacterial SSU rRNA". It matches the Rfam family "Bacterial small subunit ribosomal RNA", at positions 40 to 1183 of the family's 1533-position model. The record is from RNAcentral.